GGGGGUGUAAAGGUUUCGACGGGGGUGUAGAACCAGGAUAAGCGAGCCGCAGUUGCCAGGCUGCGUUAAAAAUGGCACGUUAAAUAUAAACGCAAAAAAUAACAACAAUUACGCAUACGCUGCAUAGUUCAGCACCGCAAUAGGCGGUCGCGUCGUCGGACUUAAUUUACCUGUAGGUUAAGACCCCGGCGUCAAUUAUACAGGGAAACUCUGUGCCUGCGCCCGGAAGCACAGGGGAACAACGGGAUUGCGGAAGUUGUAGCCUGCCGACAGGCGACCUCGCUCGUGAAAUCUAAAUUAUCGGCUUCGCUCGGAGAAAGUCCUGCGGAAAUGCUUUCGGACAGGAGUUCGACUCUCCUCAUCUCCACCA
This 370-nucleotide transfer-messenger RNA is filed under the name Anaerovoracaceae. RNAcentral's name for it is "QAKD01 sp015058155 Standard tmRNA". It matches the Rfam family "transfer-messenger RNA". Rfam says of the family: Bacterial tmRNA, also known as 10Sa RNA or SsrA, is named for its dual tRNA and mRNA-like properties. RNAcentral also lists the same sequence under 1 other name. The record is from RNAcentral. Lineage: Bacteria; Bacillati; Bacillota; Clostridia; Peptostreptococcales.